Cyprinus carpio (common carp) is the source of this 942-nucleotide long non-coding RNA. The record is from Ensembl. Lineage: Eukaryota; Metazoa; Chordata; Actinopteri; Cypriniformes; Cyprinidae.
AUGCUGUCAGCUUCUGUGAGUUCAUUUGUAAUGCUGAUGUGCAAAACUGCUGACAAAACUACUUUCAAUAAAAAAGGUAAAGUAAAAUGUUGUUGUAAAACAGACAGAAACUUCCAUUACACAAUAUUACAUGACACUGAGCUGUCCUCUUUUGUUUAUCUCUUGCACACUAGGCUUCACUUCCACAUGGGUGCAGGAAGUGCAGGCAAUCUCAGCAUGAUCCUGCAGAAGGGUGAGGAGGAUAGGAAGCUGCUUUGGUCACGAUCCAUCAGCACUUCAACUCAGUGGGUCCCAGAACACUUACCACUGGGCAAACAAGACCAGCCUUACAGGUUACAUUACAGCUGGCUUUUAAUUCAUCAAGAGCUCCAGUCACAGCACAACGAGGGAUACGGCUCUCCUCUGUCUCCCCCAACUGGACCUGAUGGGUAUUGCUUCACAUUCUGGUAUCACAUGCUCGGAGCAACAGUGGGGAUCAUUAAGAAUGUGUAUACAUGACAUUUCAUCCGAUCUCAUCACAUCAAUGUGGCAAAGGAAGGGUUCUCAGGGAACUGAAUGACAGGUGGCUCAGAUUCAUGUGCAACUGACAGAAAUUCAUCAGAUAUUAAUUGAGGCUUCAGUUGGAGGGCUGUCUGGUCACAUUGCUGUAGAUGAUUUAUCUGUCACUAAAGGUGCCUGUACUACCAACCACAGGUAAUUAAUAACAUAGCUUAUUAAUUUGGUCUGUUGUUUUUCACAGUGUCCUGUUGAAAUGUCCUCCAUGCUUGCUAGAGCACCACAAGCAUUUGACACAGCUGUAACAUAAUGUUGUAUUUAUCCAUCUAUAUGCUGUCUUCAAUACCAAACUUUAUCUGUCAGCUUAGUGACAAAUUUAGGGCAUUUAAUUCAUGUCAAAAGCAACUUGAUUAAAUAUACCAUGCAAAAAUGUGAGCCUGGAGAGGG